Molecule: long non-coding RNA, 1677 nt
Organism: Equus asinus (donkey)
Lineage: Eukaryota; Metazoa; Chordata; Mammalia; Perissodactyla; Equidae
Source: Ensembl
GCCUGGGGUUUGUCUUAACCAGGCUUCUGCGAUUGGCUGGGGGUCCUGCAAUGGCUUUCACUUUCUAUUCCCCCCACACAAUCUCAUUUCACGUUCUCUCUCCCACGUGCAACAUCUAGAGGCAGCAAACUAGUCGUAGCUGGCCUACAGCCACAGCUGAAUUUGAAUUAUUGCCAAUGCUUUAGAUCAUUACUUAAUAAUAUCACUUAAUAAUCUGGAUUUUGACGUUUCUUGAGAAAAUAGGAAGAUUAGGCUAUGGUUGUUCAGCAUCCCUGCAUGGCAGCACCUGGCCACAGCUGAGGAGUGACUGCUACUUUGAAUGAGGUCUGUACACCCUGCUCCCCACUCCCAGUGGCUGCUUUCCUUGACCUGUCUGGCCUAUGUAAGUGUUUGAAGUUUGAAACCUUUGAAGCAGAGAAUAAGAUCCUAAGGCACUAUUAGCACUUAAAGAUGAACAAAUCCAUCACGUCUGUUGAAAAAUAGGCCCAGAUUGCUCAUCCUUCUUUAUCAGACCUUAACUGUGCAGUUGCCAGAACGCUGUGGUCGGUGGCAGGAACCUCAGCUUUGGAAUCCGAAAACGGGUUUGUGUCCAGGCUCUGGCAUCCAUUAGCUUUGUGAUGCCAAGGAAGAAAAAGUCACAUUCUAGAUGGGUGGUUCCCCAAGUGGGGUGCAACAAUCCAAGGAGUGGCAGGAGGUUUGGGGACCACUCUCUGGAGCACACAUGGAGUGACAUAAGGUGGGAGGAGGCUGAUCUUUCUAGCUGAAUUUCAGAGAAGCUCAGGAUGUGACAACACCAAAUGUGGCAGAGGACGUGUGACACAAGGCUGAUAAUAGAAUUAACUGAAAGUCUGCAUGUGGAACAACCGGGUCUUCCCAUCUUACUCCUAUCCCUGAAGCAAGGUCUCCAUCAUCCAGGAAAGGUACUCUCAAUUUACACUCUUAAAAAAAUAAUAAUUGACUAUCUACGGAGCAGGGGUAUCAGCACAUUCUAGUAUUUAGGACUCCCAGGGAUUUGAAGUGUUAAUUAAGAAUAGAAUGUAAAUGUUCUUAUCCUUAAAAUUGCAUAUGGCAGAAGUUGGGAGGUAGUCACUGAAGAGAAGUUGAGGGAUGCUGUUACCUUCAUCUUAGAAAGUGAACAGUCAAGAGAUACUAUCUUUAGUUGAUGGAACAAGAAAUAAAGGUGUAUUCGUGCAACACAGGCAGCCUACAGAAAAACAAAGAAGUUAUACAACUACAGAAAGAGAAGAGGGGGUGCUGGUGAAAAUGAGCUAAACCCUUCCCUUUAUUAUUUCACAGUUCUGUAGCUCAGAACUUGCCAGAUUAAAUGGGUUCCCUGCUUAGGGUCUCACAAGGCUGAAAUCAAGGUGUAGGCCAGGCUGGGCUCCUAUCUAGGGGGUCUGGCAAAGAACCUACUUGCAAGUUCAUUCAGGCGGUUGGCAGAAUUUAAGUCCUUGCAGUUGUAAGGCUGAGGGCCUGUUUUCUUGAUGUUUUUUUGGCAAGGGGUUGCUCUGAGCUCCUAGAGGCUGCUCUCAGGGCCUUUCCAUGUGGCCUCCUCCAUCUUAAAACCAGCAUCAAAAUAUCUCUCUUGCAUUGAAACCUUCGCAUGCUUCAAAUCUCUGUGACCUGCUACCAGCCAGAAAAAACUCUCAGCUUUUAAAGUGCUCGUGUGAUUAGGUU